Molecule: long non-coding RNA, 4099 nt
Organism: Caretta caretta (loggerhead turtle)
Lineage: Eukaryota; Metazoa; Chordata; Testudines; Cheloniidae
Source: RefSeq, a predicted model, not a curated record
CCCGGCCACGGAGCGCUGCGUGCGCGGGACAACAAAGGCGGGAGCAUCAGCCCCGCGGGACGCCGCCCCCGCGCGCAGAAGCCGGGCUGCGUCCUCGGGCAGCGUCCGUCGCCCUGCCCGGCUCCCGCAUGGCUGCCCCGGCCCGCCCCAGCAGCGCGUGGGAGGCGGGCGAGGCCCCAGAGCGCGCGCGCUGCACCACGCCGCCUCCGGCCCAGCCCGGGCACGGCCCUGGGGAGCGGGUCCCCCCGUGCCUCUCCUGGGGACAGGGCGAGCAGCGUGUACGCGUGCUUCCGAAGAAGGGAGGGCGCUAGGGUAAGGAAACAAGAGCUGGAGGCCUAAGGGGGAAGCCGCCGAGGUGCCCUCUGAGCUCUAAUCCGCUUUUGAUACCCUCUGAGCUCUCAUGCAAGGAGGACGUGGCUGCUCAGGGCCCUAGCCGUGGUGUUUGAUCCAUUGCACGGUGCCUGGCUGCCCACCUUUUUAUCCCUACGAGCGGACCAUUACCCGACUUCCAAGCGCUCCGCGUGAACCAGCUUUGCUGUGCCCGAGGCUUUGCUGUUUGAAACAUACGAAGGUAAAACGAGCACUGGGCCACGGCUGUAGGCGCCGCGCCUGAAAACGUUUUAAAUGUAGUUAACUGAACUCCUGCGUUCACUCCUUAAAGCGAUUACGGUCUAAUAGACAUUAACAGCAUGUGGAUUUACAGGUCCGUGGACCGUUCUCACCUUUGAAGCGCAAAAAACCUGCCCUCCCCGCCCCAAGGCGGGCCCACAGCACCGCCAACCCCCAGGCACAAGGCAACUCCCCUACCUCCCUAAACAGCCACUUGCGGUCUCUGUAAAGGUUUUGCUCUUUGAAAGUACAGGUCUAGCAGCUUAUGGCUAUAUUAAGAGGACACCCUUCGGAAAUAUUCCACAGACUGUUUGGAUUCCCUGGCAUUCCUUGUCCUUGGCUGGCCCCACUUACCUGUUUCCUCUCCUGGGAUACGGGAGGUAUUAAACAUUCGCUCCCACUGAGCUGAGCAGAGUGGAACAGUGGAUCCCAUCAGAAGAAUCUAUGCCGCAAAUUUUUUUCCUGUAGAGCAGGGUGGCAUGGAUAACAUUACCUGCUCUAGCUGCCUGCAGGGAAGUGGGAACAACAUACAGAAAGUCCUGAAGACAGAAGAAAGGCACAUCCCUGGUCUUUCAAACGUUGCAGUUGUUUUGGGUCAAGAGCAUCCAAGUUCUACCCAGCUGAAAGACCAUGUUGCCAGGACCCAGAGAGCUGUAACUAUUUUACUUUAAAUGGAGUAGAUUACAGUGCUUCUCAACUAUAACAGAUGUCACACUGCAGGGACUACAAUCCCCAAAAUUCGGUGCUCCAUCCUGCACUAAGCAAUUAGCUCAGAUCAUUCUGUAGAAGAUGCAGCAUUGCAUGCUGGGACCUGUAAUCUCUGAGUUGUACUUCCCUACUAAAGAAGAGGUGGCUGUAGGCAAUAUAUUUGAUCCCCCGCUUUGGGUGAAUAGGCAAAUUAUACAAGUGCUCUUCCUUCUCCAAGGACUACCUGAACAGUUUCACCAACAACCCGGGUGCCAAGUGGAUGACAGCAACCAAAGACACUGGGAGAGAAAACAGCACUGUACAAGGACAUUCCAAUGCAUACCAAACAUUAUGAAUGAAUGAGACAAAGAAAACUGAAAAAUAACUAAAGAGCUGGCUUCUAAGAGCUUAAUGACACACAAAACACAAUCAAAUGAUAUUUAAGAUAUCCUAUCAGUGCCACAAUUAAAACAGAAACAGACAAAAUUUCCUUACCAUCCAAAUCCUGGUUGCUGUGGAAAGUUUGCCAUGUUCAGCAAAAAUCCAUCCAUGAUAAGAAAGCAGCAUCUUCAGUGAGUAUCGCAUUGUCAUAAUAAGGGCUACCCACAGCCCAGUGCCAAAAAGCAUCCCACUCACAAUGUUCUGCGUUUGGUUGGACAUAUAACCACUAUUUAAAAUAAAAGUCAGUGUAUGUCAAUUAAUGUCAGAAGAGGUAAAACAAACAACAAAAGUGAUAACAUGAGCCCUGCUUGUUCCCAGUGACUAGCUACAUCAAGCUCUAUAUAGAGGUCCUAUAGCUAACCUUUCACCAACAAAUUUCUGGGAGAAUUAGAGGGUUCUUUGAUCCAUUAAAGUCAUUCUCCAUUGUAUGGUGGUGAAUUCCUCUGGCACAGGCAAACUGUAUUGGGAUAGUUCUGCCACCUCCUUUGCCAACAACCCCACAUAAGAGCAGUUGUGUGCACACAUGUAAGGGGUAUUCUGGAGGCAGGGGAUGAUUAGGAUGGGGAGGAAUAAGGUGUGUGCGCAGAAGCUCCAAUAUGCCUAAUUCCUCACUGGUGUAAGUCCUAGGCUUCAUCAUAGGGUUGACCUUGAGCAACAGAAAUUGGGGUAAAAGAUGUUAACCUGCAUUUACACAAAGGAAACUACGGUGGUUAAAUCUUUUACUAAUCUAGGCAAACUCAAAGAGGAGAGUGGCUGAAUGGCAAAGGGAAGUUUCUCACUCCAUACAAGUGAUGCUUCCUGCUCAGAGGUGAGACACACUGGAGGGUGCUGUGAUGCAACUUGUACUUCUGCUGCCAAUACAGUACCUAGAGUGUGGAUAAACUGACUUCACCUUUUGAGGCCAUUGCCAAGCUAGUCUCUUUCCACAUGCUAAGUCCACUUUUUUCAAUUGAGAGAGAUAAAAAGUAUGGAUCAAAAUUUUCUCUGGGGCAUCAAUUCUCCAAACAAAAUCAUAAAUCCUUAAAAAUGACUAUUAAAAAGGGAGCUUAAAUAUUAAAGUAUUAGUAGCAUCUUUUCCUACACACUUCCUCUCAUCCUGCUGUAGGAAUAGAGAAGAGAAGAGGAUAAAUUCUAUUCUCAUUCACCCUGGAUUUACACUUGUAAAUCACUAGAAAAGGUCCAACAUGAUUUAACAUAAUUCACCCAGAUUCCUCAGUGAUUGCAUACACAAAAUAUGCAGAAAAGUGUGUUAAAAUGGUAGUAACUGACAGAAAGGUAGCACUAACUGAUUUGACCUAUUAGCCUUAUAACUCUAUAAGAGAACAAAUUCCUUCCUUCAGUCACAAGAACAAAAGAGUUUGUGGUUUCAUCCUUGCUCAUUUGUGCACAUCAGAAAACUACCACAUACUCUGCCACUACUAAGAAAGGCCCAGAGCCAGAAGAGAAGUAUGUUGCAAGUCAGGAUUGUGUGGGUCCCAUCCUGCACAAGACUAACUUAGCAGAAGACGCUGUAGAAAGCUUGCCUCAUGUCUACCAGUGCUUUGCUUGGCUGUGGUCUGUACUAUUCCUCCUCGGACAAGGAACGUUGGGGGUGAAAAAUACCACAGAAAAGACGUUAGUGUUUAUAUCUUGUGUGUGUUGAAUAUAUGUCGAAUUCAUAAAACAAUAUGCCCAUCCAAGCUUGGCACGAUAAGAAUUCUUUUCUUUAAAUAUAUAGUGUCAAAAGUGCAGUUUAUCAUACACAUACUCCCAACCACAUUUGAAACACUUGGUGGUCUUCUGAAAAUACUAACUGAAGUUAUAUCUCCAAUCCAGCUAGUGACAUACACGCAAUAGCUUUCUAAAGCAAUAAAGGAUAAGAGGCCUAAACUCAUGCUCAAAAGCUUCUGCAUGACGUUGGAGGACUGAGCUUACAGUAUUUACUGAUGCUUCCAAAUAGCUCUGGCUACGAGUAGCCUAAUACUUACAUAGCUGAACAAGCCAAAGAAGGUUUAAAUCAAUUUCUACAAUAUAAACAGAAUCAUGGCAACAUUUUGUAGUCAACUGCACUUCAUACCUAAACAGAGACAUGGAUAUAGUGUCCUGAUACACAGGUCAGUCUGCAGGUGAAACAUCCCACUGAGAAAUCUUCACUUAUUUUUUUAUUUUCUUAAAAUUGUGAAUGAACCUAGCACUCAGAGGUACGUUGCCUAAGCCAGGCACACUGUAGGGCAGGGUUGUACAAGAUUCCUCUUUACAGGUUCUGUUAACGUACUUCAGUCCUGUCCACAACACCUGUGCUGUCUGUUCUCGUCGGAUGAAAUGCUAUCAGUUGUACUCCUCAGAUAAUACUCAUGCUAAUAAAAUGAGUGGUAAUAUCAAA